This 555-nucleotide ribosomal RNA is filed under the name Lithoxus planquettei. RNAcentral's name for it is "partial 16S ribosomal RNA". It matches the Rfam family "Bacterial large subunit ribosomal RNA", at positions 1808 to 2574 of the family's 2925-position model. The record is from RNAcentral. Lineage: Eukaryota; Metazoa; Chordata; Actinopteri; Siluriformes; Loricariidae.
CAAAAACAUCGCCUUCUGCAAAAAUCAAUAUAUAGAAGGUCCUGCCUGCCCAGUGACUCUAAGUUAAACGGCCGCGGUAUUUUGACCGUGCAAAGGUAGCGCAAUCACUUGUCUUUUAAAUAAAGACCUGUAUGAAUGGUGAAACGAGAGCUUAACUGUCUCCCCCAUCUAGUCAAUGAAAUUGAUCUACCCGUGCAGAAGCGGGUAUAAUUAUACAAGACGAGAAGACCCUUUGGAGCUUAAGAUAAAAGACCAAUUAUGUCAAAAGUUCAGAAAAUAACUAAACCAAAUAACAAUGGUCCAUAUCUUCGGUUGGGGCGACCACGGGAGAAAAUAAAGCUCCCAUGCGGACUGGGAAAAAAUUCCUAAAAUUAAGAGAGACAUCUCUAAAAAACAGAAAAUCUGACCAAAAGAUCCGGCUACAUGCCGACCAACGAACCAAGUUACCCUAGGGAUAACAGCGCAAUCCCCUUCCAGAGUCCAUAUCGACAAGGGGGUUUACGACCUCGAUGUUGGAUCAGGACAUCCUAAUGGUGCAGCCGCUAUUAAGGGUUC